This 576-nucleotide ribosomal RNA is filed under the name Triticum aestivum (bread wheat). Its description in RNAcentral is "partial small subunit ribosomal RNA". Lineage: Eukaryota; Viridiplantae; Streptophyta; Magnoliopsida; Poales; Poaceae. The record is from RNAcentral.
AUGGCCACCGAGACGUUGGUCGGCGACGUGGACUUCGAGGGCGACGUCAUGACCACCACCAUCACGUCCUCCGGCGCCGCCGUGGCCGCCUGGCUCCGCAAGAUCCGCUACGUCUACCGCUGGGUCUACCACAAGCUCAUCGUGGGGCUGGACGUGGAGUGGCGCCCCAGCUACAGCCACGCGCAGAACCCCGUCGCGCUCCUGCAGCUCUGCGUCGGCCGCCGCUGCCUCAUCUUCCAGCUCCUCCACGCCGACUACUUCCCACAGGCGCUCGUCACCUUCCUCGCCGACCCGGACUUCCGCUUCGUCGGCGUCGGCGUGCAGGACGACGCCAACCGCCUCAGCAACGACCACGGUCUCGGGGUCGCCAACACCAUGGGCAGGCCGUGGCUCCGCCAGGCCGGGCUCAGGGACGUCGCGGACGCCGUCAUGGGGGCCAGCGUCGACAAGCCGCACAGCAUCACGAUGGGACCGUGGGACGCCUACCGCCUCUCCGACGAGCAGAUCAAGUACGCCUGCAUCGACGCGUUCGUCUGCUUCGAGGUCGGCCGGAAGCUCCUCACCGGCGACUACUGA